CGCGUAGGCGGGAAUGCAAGUCAGAUGUGAAAUCUGGGGGCUCAACCCCCAAACUGCAUUUGAAACUGUAUUUCUUGAGUGAUGGAGAGGCAAGUGGAAUUCCUAGUGUAGCGGUGAAAUGCGUAGAUAUUAGGAGGAACACCAGUGGCGAAGGCGACUUGCUGGACAUUAACUGACGCUGAGGCGCGAAAGCGUGGGGAGCAAACA
RNAcentral lists this ribosomal RNA (207 nucleotides) under uncultured Eubacteriales bacterium. RNAcentral's name for it is "uncultured Clostridiales bacterium partial 16S ribosomal RNA". It matches the Rfam family "Bacterial small subunit ribosomal RNA", at positions 568 to 774 of the family's 1533-position model. The record is from RNAcentral. Lineage: Bacteria; Bacillati; Bacillota; Clostridia; Eubacteriales.